UCUCAAAAAUAAGUAAAGACAUUAAAAAAAAAAAAAAAAAAGGGAUCUUUAUGGCAGUCAUCUCCAUGCCCCUCCAGGAUUGUAAUGUAGCUCUUCUGUUCAGUAAGCAUGUGACCUUCUCCACUUAUCCAGUAGAGGGUGGCCAAACACUGCUUAUGAAAGAUUAAGGCCCUCUGAUACCUGUUCCAUGGAGAGACAGCAGAGUUUACCAUCUGUCUGGAUGAGUUCCUACACUUAAAGUGCAUUCCACAGAGGUGGCGGGAUGUGGAAGAAUAAACUUGGUCUGGUAUUCACUCACUUGAACCAGACAUUGCCUAGAAACAGAUCUGACAAGAAAUGUAGCCAGCCAAAUGAGAUAAGGAUUAAUUAAGAGAAAGACUUGGAAGGACAAAUUUAAUCCCACAAGUUCAUGGCCUUCUUUGUGUACCCCUAUGAGAUUUUUACUGCAGUGUAUUUAAUAUUCUAUAGGAGGGACUAUGGGGAGUAUCGACCAGCGAAAUCAAGGGGCCUCAGACGCUGCUGAUUCCCCUAUAAGAAGCUUGGCCUCUUUGGGCCUCUUCUUCCCGAUGUGGAAACGGGAAGAAUGGGAUAAGAAAACCAGUUCUCCAGUGGGCGUGGGGAGGCCAGCACAUGGGAGGAGCAUAUCAAAUCACCCGGGGUUUCACCCAUGUGGUUUUCGUCCUACUUUCCAUAUACGCCGUGAGAGUGGGUGUCUCUCUCUGGCCCUCCUUGACCCCUCCUCAAAUACGAUUGUAGGAAACCCCUUGGUGCUCCGGAGCAAAACGAAGCUUCAGGCCUAGGUGUUGCUAAGAAUUUGUGACUUAACCUUGCUUUUGCUUAGGACUUCAGUCUAUGAUCAACUAGAUCUGCCCUGAGACAAUACCUCGGGACCCCAAUAUUCCCAGAAGGAAAUAGAAUGCAAAUACAGGGCUGGCUUUAAAAUAUGUCCACAGAUUCCUUGACACGCCUCUCAAAUGUAGGAUCCUCUUGAAUGUAGUGAAUUGUCUCUGGUGAACAAAGUAUGGCCGACAUGAUGCUAUGUGACUUGGGAGGCUAAGUCAUAAAGCCUACCUGCUGCUGUCUCAAUAUCGUGCUCCGGGGAAGUCAGUUGGUUAGCAGUCACGUUGUGAGGACAUUUAGGCAGUCUUACAGAGAGGUCUACAUGGAGAGGAACAGAGGCCACCCAUCAGCAGCCAGCAGCUCCUUGCCAGCCAGGUGAGUGAGCCAUCUUGGAAGUGGAUUCUCCAGGCUCAGUCAAGCCUUCAAUGACCAAAGCCCCAGAUGACAUCUGACUGAGCCUCAGGAAAACACCUGAGCCACAACCACCUGGCCAAGCAACUGAAUGGAGGUCACAAAGGUUACUGGACACCAGGACAACCAAAGAGACAGGCACUGCACACGGCCAGUGCGUACAAGAGAGAUCAUUCAGUGUGGCCAGGGAGAUAAAGCAAACAGAAAACCCUGCUGCAGCAAGGCCAAUGAGAGAAAACAAACUACCUAAGACAGAGAUGGAGAAUCCGGGGAAAACGUGGAAAUGGUUGUUUCAUCAUUACAGCUGAGUCCAGGAAAUCCAUGAACGCGUCUCCAGGAAGCAAACUGGGGACAGGCGGCCUGACAGACAAGUGACCAGUGGAAAGCUACCAGAGGAGGCCCAUGACAGCCGCCGGCUGUCCCUUUUGCUACCCCCCCCUCCCCAAGUGCCAUGCUGGCCUCAGGAGCUCUGCAGCUGCCAGAUGUGCACCCCGGGGGGUUCCCCCCCCGCAGUCUUCCAGCCAGACCAUCUGAAUUUCUCUUGGCUUGAACAUCCCUGGGCCACUUGAUAACUAUUAUGCCGGACCUCACUGCCUCCUUGCUUCUGUAGGAAAGGGCUGGCACCUGGGUCAAUGUCUUUGGUAAGAGCGCAUGAAGCUCUCCGUGAGGUCUAACCCUGCCCAGCCCCCAAAACAUCUACUUUGGAGAAGCAGGAACCAAGAUCUACCAAGAUGCUGUGGGGAACACAAGACGUCCCCUCCGCCGCUUCUGUCUCUGGAUUUCUUUGUAUCCCAGCCACGUGGAAGGAAAAUGUCGCCCAUGUGGUCAAUGUCAGGGCUCUAGCCUCUAAGGGAGAGACUACAGCAACUUAGUCUCCAGUUUCAGUUCUUAGAGAACACUCUGAGUGACCCAGUUUGGGUCAGGUGCGGGCCCCUCAACCACACAACAGUGGCCUGGCUGGGCCAGGUGUGGAGGGUGAAAUAUCACCAUGAGUGAACGUGGCUAUUGCUGCUGCCAUGAUAUGUAAAGAGAAGGGCUGAUGAUUCUUAGAAACUCUGUGAGCAAAGAACUCAACAGGUGUUCAUGACCAGGACAGCAUUAAAAGUGGCCCAGCCAGUUGAGUGGCUCAGUUGGUUAAAUGUCUGAAUUCGGUUCAGGUCAUGACCUCAGGGUUUGUGAGCCCUGCAUCAGGCUCUGUGCUGACAGUGUG
Long non-coding RNA from Herpailurus yagouaroundi (jaguarundi), 2461 nucleotides. RefSeq lists it as uncharacterized. The transcript has 3 exons. The record is from RefSeq and is a predicted model, not a curated record. Lineage: Eukaryota; Metazoa; Chordata; Mammalia; Carnivora; Felidae.